GACGAACCGUGCGAACGUUGUUCGGAAUCACUGGGCUUAAAGGGCGCGUAGGCGGGUCGGAAAGUCCGCGGUGAAAUCCCCCCGCUCAACGGGGGAACGGCCGCGGAUACUGCCGGCCUCGAGGGGGGUAGGGGCGAGCGGAACGCUGGGUGGAGCGGUGAAAUGCGUUGAUAUCCAGCGGAACUCCGGUGGCGAAGGCGGCUCGCUGGACCCCCACUGACGCUGAGGCGCGAAAGCUAGGGUAGCAAACGGG
RNAcentral lists this ribosomal RNA (253 nucleotides) under uncultured bacterium. RNAcentral's name for it is "partial 16S ribosomal RNA". It matches the Rfam family "Bacterial small subunit ribosomal RNA", at positions 524 to 776 of the family's 1533-position model. The record is from RNAcentral.